Molecule: unclassified non-coding RNA, 766 nt
Filed under: Hevea brasiliensis (rubber tree)
Lineage: Eukaryota; Viridiplantae; Streptophyta; Magnoliopsida; Malpighiales; Euphorbiaceae
Source: RNAcentral
UCUCAAAAUUUGCCACCCACUCCUGCAAUAUCAAGAAAAAGUAAGCUGCAUAAUUGCCACUUCCACGUCCUACAAAAGGGAAAUUGAAGACCCUUCAAGUUAAACACACAAAAUUAAGUAAGUGAGGUGAAUGUGAAAUUCAAAAUCAGAUUAAAGUGACAGACAAAAGGCAGCCAAAAAGUCAUGUCACCUUUUGAAAACCACACAAGGAAUAUAUAAGAACAAUACCUAGUACAUCCAAUGUGAUUCUUUUUGAAUGAGUUCCCACUACACAAAUAGAGUCAUGCAUCACUUGCCCAUGAAAGGGAGAUCAUGGGAUGACCCUCUUAACCCAACACACACUAUACAAACCCCAACAAUUACCAAUUUGACCAAGCCAACCCAUACUGUUCCAGAAGCCAUGCCAUGUACAAAUAGAAGAAAAAGCUUAAACACACAGGUCGUACAUCACAUCUCACCCAAAAGUUAAUAUUAAUACCUAAGUCAUGAGCUAAUACCAUAUAUAUAAACCAUUCAUGGUACUAACUACUGGAAGAUCUCAGAAUUAAUCGUACAGAUAAAGAAUCAUAUCCGAUUACUGGAUAAAAAAAUUAUUAUUUAAAAAAAUAUCUGCGCUACAACACAUCGGAGAACAAAUGAAGCUUUGCAGGAAAAUGAAAGGCAUCAACCAUUUAUUUUUGCAAUCAUCAGCUACAUGUGGGAAUCAAAAGAGAAUUCACUAAAUGAUAUAACAAAUACCAUACCUUGUUAUUGAUUGAUUCUCUUA